GGUCCCUUUGAAGCCAGCUAAAACUGGCCCUCAUCUAACAUGGAGCAGCUUCUGGACUCUUCUCAGAGGCCACCCCUGCAACCCCCAGCUACCAAAACCUUGCCACAUUAAACCAAUACAGCGAUCAAAGGCUGCCCUCACAAGCUCAGACAGGUUUUAGCUUGGGAUCUUUCUUUGUUAAUUUUGGUUUUCCCCUCUUUGGCUAUUGCUUAAGAGUAAAAUGCUCAUGAGCAGUUAGGCUGCCACACAGCUUGCGCUGCAUUUGGACAGAAAUUGUGUAACGUGCUUCUUGCUCUUGAUCUCCCACAUAUGUUUAGCAAUCACCUUGAUUUUAGUAUGACUUCAAGCAGUGAUUUGCCCGGGCAAAAGUUAAUUGUUAUGUUAUAGUUUCAGUUUGGGGAGGGGCAGGACUCUAUCACAUCGCUAGUGUUUUAUAAACCCAAAGUGAGUGCAGUAGCAACAACACUAUUGCUGCCAUUUUACAACUCCAACUUUCCCCGGGUUUUAAGCUAAAUUAUGACACUGUUCUGCAGUGAUGCUGUUUCUCCACACAUCAAAACUUCUUAGAUCAUCAAGUCCUCACAUGCCAAGAAGUUUUGCAUGGCCAUGUUUGACGUUGUAAUUAGGAAAACAGUGAAGGUUUCCAAAGUAGGAUGCAGCCUAGAGUCAGACGCCACAACAUGUGUCUUGGAUGAUUUCUACAGUGCCAGAGGAGCCUUCACCUCUCCUAAGACAAGGAGACUAAGCAAGUACAGAAGCUUCUUUAUUAACUCAGAGAAAAUAUGACAUAUCCCCAGGUGAUCCAGUGACUUCAUAGAAGAGUGAAUUUCCUGACUUGAGCAAGUAUCCCUCAGCUGUGGUUGGGAAAAAAAAAAAAAAAAUAAUAAUAAAAUUAGCCAGAAUACUGGCUUGGGUGCUGCUGGUGCUUGUAUUCUGUUCCUGCAUUAUAUAAAAUAAGAAUGUACAUGCUGCUUCUGAAAUUUUGUUUAUAAAAGCCUUAAUGCUGUAGCUGCUAUUCAAUACAGGUUCAUGUCUGAACUCUUCGCCCCCAAAGUUCUCAGAGAGUGUCAGUUGUGUCAGUUUCUCAUCACUUUCUGUCCAGGUUACAGUUUGAAGCAUGUCAUUGUGUUUUCCUGAGGAGCUGUGAUUCGGCCUAAGAACAUAGCUUUGUGUGAUUUAUGUGAAAAGCAUGUUAGUGGCUUACAGUAGAGAGGGUGAUGGUGGAGGAGGAGGAUGUUGCAUCAACUCUGAGUCUCACAGUAUAGGAAGCAGGAAACUUAGAAAAUGCUAAGAGACUUAGAAAAUGCCAAAGCCAAAGUCUAACUUUCUGCUAUUCAAAGUGGGAAAGUAAUCAUUUUGGGUCAGGUUGGUUUAACUGAGCUUAGACAGGAAACAGAAACCGAGUAUGAAGGAAAUUCUGAUUAAAACACCUAAUAAAAAUACAUUAUGAAUGAAAGUUGAAAUCUGCAGGUAACGUUUUCCAUCUGACACAUAGUUCAGUCCCUUCCCAUCUGCCUCCAGGAAAAUGUUCUUUUUCCUCAUUUUUUCUCUAGCUGUACAGCCUGCCUUUUCUUCCCAUACCAGACGCAGGUACUUCUGAGAGGCAGACUUUCCAAAGACCUUGUCUUCUACUCACAUGCUAAGGCACUGCCGAGUAACACUUGCACCUGAAAGGAUACAGAAAUAAGUAUGUGUAUGUG
Long non-coding RNA from Anas platyrhynchos (mallard), 1700 nucleotides. RefSeq lists it as uncharacterized. Lineage: Eukaryota; Metazoa; Chordata; Aves; Anseriformes; Anatidae. The record is from RefSeq and is a predicted model, not a curated record.